GAUGAACGCUGGCGGCGUGCCUAAUACAAGCAAGUCGAGCGAACGGACGAGAAGCUUGCUUUUCUGAUGUUAGCGGCGGACGGGUGAGUAACACGUGGAUAACCUACCUAUAAGACUGGGAUAACUUCGGGAAACCGGAGCUAAUACCGGAUAAUAUUUUGAACCGCAUGGUUCAAAAGUGAAAGACGGUCUUGCUGUCACUUAUAGAUGGAUCCGCGCUGCAUUAGCUAGUUGGUAAGGUAACGGCUUACCAAGGCAACGAUGCCUAGCCGACCUGAGAGGGUGAUCGGCCACACUGGAACUGAGACACGGUCCAGACUCCUACGGGAGGCAGCAGUAGGGAAUCUUCCGCAAUGGGCGGAAGCCUGACGGAGCAACGCCGCGUGAGUGAUGAAGGUCUUCGGAUCGUAAAACUCUGUUAUUAGUGAAGAACAUAUGUGUAAGUAACUGUGCACAGCUUGACGGUACCUAAUCAGAAAGCCACGGCUAACUACGUG
This 497-nucleotide ribosomal RNA is filed under the name uncultured bacterium. RNAcentral describes it as "partial 16S ribosomal RNA". It matches the Rfam family "Bacterial small subunit ribosomal RNA", at positions 28 to 507 of the family's 1533-position model. The record is from RNAcentral.